AAGUCGUAACAAGGUUUCCGUAGGUGAACCUGCGGAAGGAUCAUUAUCGAAAUAAACCUGAUGGGUUGUUGCUGGUUCUCUAGGGAAACAUGUGCACGCCUUGUCAUCUUUAUAUCUCCACCUGUGCACUCUUUGUAGACCUUUUCAGGUCUAUGUUGAUUCUUCAUUUACCCCCAACGUAUGUUGAUAGAAUGUCGUCCAUAAUGUAAUCUAUACAACUUUCAGCAACGGAUCUCUUGGCUCUC
RNAcentral lists this unclassified non-coding RNA (245 nucleotides) under air metagenome. RNAcentral describes it as "partial contains small subunit ribosomal RNA, internal transcribed spacer 1, and 5.8S ribosomal RNA". The stretch from base 1 to 46 matches the Rfam family "Eukaryotic small subunit ribosomal RNA", at positions 1786 to 1831 of the family's 1831-position model. The record is from RNAcentral.